This 1329-nucleotide long non-coding RNA is filed under the name Bos indicus x Bos taurus (hybrid cattle). RNAcentral describes it as "lncRNA (ENSBIXG00005011097.1)". Lineage: Eukaryota; Metazoa; Chordata; Mammalia; Artiodactyla; Bovidae. The record is from RNAcentral.
AUGGGCUUAUUUAUACAGCUUGUGUCAACACAAACUAACCUCUGUCCCAGAGACAGGGAAAAAACAGCGCUCAGAAAGCCUUUAGCUGGCUACAUUAAGUCCUGGCCUUUUGAGAGGUUGCCCAAGCUUCAGACAGGUCACAUUCCCACGAGAAAUGAUCUCUCUUUACUAUAUUCUCUUUUCUUUUUUUUUUUUUUUUGGUUAAGCAGCCAUGGAGGGUGGGGGAGUGGAAAAAGAGGAUCACAAAAAUUGUUUGAGAUUUCGCUUCUGCAAGCAGCUGGCUGUGAAACACGUCGGUUUGCCUUCUUAACACAGAAGACAAGAGAAUCUAGUUUCUACCGUCUCAGAAGCUGAGAACAAACCAGCUGCCUGGGGAAUGUCAUUUCAAGCUAAAUAUGAUUCAGUCCCUUAAAAUAUGACUUAAAGCUUUACUCCAACAGCAAAUGGAAAUGUCUGUGUGAUGUAAGCCUCAAAUUUUAUAAUUUAUAUAUGGGAUUCUUGACUUAAAAAAAAAACAACUUUUACCGAUAGAACAAACAUACACUAAAAUCAAGAAAGUGAAAGUGAAGUCGCUCAGUCGUGUUGGACUCUUUGCGACCCCGUGGGCAGUAGCCUGCACCAGGUUCCUCCGUCCAUGGGAUUUUCUAGGCAAGAGUACUGGAGUGGGUUGCCAUUUCCUUCUCCAGGGAAUCUUCCCGACCCAGGGAUCGAACCCAGGCCUCCCGCAUUGUAGACAGACACUUUACCAUCUGAGCCACCAGGGAAGUCCUAAAAUCAAGAAGCAUGUAUCCAAUAACUAAGGGGAUGUAUGAAGUACAUUAAGAUACAUAAGACAGAGUUCCUGUCCAUCAGGAAUCUAAACUCUAUUGAGUAUGAGAAUGUAAACAAUAAUCUGAGACUUCAAUGACAGUUCACCAGACGUAAAUGACAGUUCAAGACGAGUGUGGAAGAGCUGGCAUGUCAGUACAUGAUUCAUCUCAAAAUGAAUCAGAGAGACAGUAACUGUAGGUGCUAAUGAGUUGAAAGUUAAAAACAACUACUUUAUUUGGGGAUGAGCAGGAAAACAUGAAUGGAACUGAUUAACUAGGAACUGGCUACCAAAAAGGAAUACUUUGUUUUGGCAGAGAAACUUCUGGAAGCGGUGGUGGACGCCAAAGUGUGGAAAUGAGAAAGCACUUCAGACAAUUCUGACCACUUGCUCUUACUACUUGCCUACCUUGUUGUGUUAAAAUGAAGAAAACAGUGAGAACACCUUUAUUUAGCAAAGGAGCCAAGUUUUUUGGUAUAACCAGAUGUACCAGAACUAAAAUAAAUUGGUCCAGAAUAGCA